Long non-coding RNA from Pezoporus occidentalis (night parrot), 506 nucleotides. RefSeq lists it as uncharacterized. The transcript is spliced from 3 exons. Lineage: Eukaryota; Metazoa; Chordata; Aves; Psittaciformes; Psittacidae. The record is from RefSeq and is a predicted model, not a curated record.
UAUGCUUUGCUUAACUGCUGGUGGUACAGGUUUUACACGGGCUUUGAUGUGUUCAAAAAGUCUGUAGUGACCAGUGUUCAGGCCUGGUCAUUUCUCCCUUCAAAGAGAGAAACAGAUUUUCAGCAACGUGGGAAAAGAAGCCUCUCCAGCCUGUCGGGGUCAGAUCUAUGAGGGCAGCACUCACUGGUGCUGGUCUCAUCCAAGUAAAUGCCCAGAGGCUGGCCACACACGGCUCCAUCAAAGCCUCUGAAGCUUAAAACAACUGCACAGAACACAGUAGAGAAGAAGCUGAGACGGUACCAUACUGAUUAGUACAGGAAACUUCAAUACAGCAGGUCUGCGGCAGUGUCUUUAUUCAGCUUGGGUUAAUCAAAUGGAUCCUUUCCCCCCUCUGCAAAUGAGGGAAGUUCAGUUUUAGAGCUCAUACUUUUCCUUUAAGAAUAGCAAGUUCCGGAGUUGAUACCAAAUUGGUGACGAAAGGGUGAUUAAUAGUUUUUAAAUGUUUA